UCGCGGCUUAUCACCGGCAGUCCCCUUAGAGUGCCCAACUGAAUGAUGGCAACUAAGGGCGAGGGUUGCGCUCGUUGCGGGACUUAACCCAACAUCUCACGACACGAGCUGACGACAGCCAUGCAGCACCUGUGUCCACGUCUCUUGCGAGAAGGAAUCCAUCUCUGGAAGCCGUCGUGGCAUGUCAAAGGCUGGUAAGGUUCUGCGCGUUGCUUCGAAUUGAACCACAUGCUCCACCGCUUGUGCGGGCCCCCGUCAAUUCCUUUGAGUUUCAGCCUUGCGGCCGUACUCCCCAGGCGGGGCACUUAAUGCGUUAGCUACGGCACGGAUCCCGUGGAAGGGAAACCCACACCUAGCGCCCAACGUUUACGGCGUGGACUAC
This 382-nucleotide unclassified non-coding RNA is filed under the name uncultured bacterium. RNAcentral describes it as "contains 16S-23S intergenic spacer region". The record is from RNAcentral.